This 468-nucleotide ribosomal RNA is filed under the name uncultured bacterium. RNAcentral describes it as "partial 16S ribosomal RNA". It matches the Rfam family "Bacterial small subunit ribosomal RNA", at positions 28 to 507 of the family's 1533-position model. The record is from RNAcentral.
GACGAACGCUGGCGGCGUGCUUAACACAUGCAAGUCGAACGGAAAGGCCCUGCUUUUGUGGGGUGCUCGAGUGGCGAACGGGUGAGUAACACGUGAGUAACCUGCCCUUGACUUUGGGAUAACUUCAGGAAACUGGGGCUAAUACCGGAUAGGAGCUCCUGCUGCAUGGUGGGGGUUGGAAAGUUUCGGCGGUUGGGGAUGGACUCGCGGCUUAUCAGCUUGUUGGUGGGGUAGUGGCUUACCAAGGCUUUGACGGGUAGCCGGCCUGAGAGGGUGACCGGCCACGUUGGGACUGAGAUACGGCCCAGACUCCUACGGGAGGCAGCAGUGGGGAAGAGAGCACAAUGGGCGGAAGCCUGAUGCAGCAACGCCGCGUGCGGGAUGACGGCCUUCGGGUUGUAAACCGCUUUCGCCUGUGACGAAGCGUGAGUGACGGUAAUGGGUAAAGAAGCACCGGCUAACUACGUG